This 467-nucleotide ribosomal RNA is filed under the name uncultured bacterium. RNAcentral describes it as "partial 16S ribosomal RNA". It matches the Rfam family "Bacterial small subunit ribosomal RNA", at positions 28 to 507 of the family's 1533-position model. The record is from RNAcentral.
GACGAACGCUGGCGGCGUGCUUAACACAUGCAAGUCGAACGGAAAGGCCUCUUUCGGGGGGUACUCGAGUGGCGAACGGGUGAGUAACACGUGAGUAACCUGCCCUUGACUUUGGGAUAACUUCAGGAAACUGGGGCUAAUACCGGAUAGGAGCUCCUGCUGCAUGGUGGGGGUUGGAAAGUUUCGGCGGUUGGGGAUGGACUCGCGGCUUAUCAGCUUGUUGGUGGGGUAGUGGCUUACCAAGGCUUUGACGGGUAGCCGGCCUGAGAGGGUGACCGGCCACAUUGGGACUGAGAUACGGCCCAGACUCCUACGGGAGGCAGCAGUGGGGAAUAUUGCACAAUGGGUGGAAGCCUGAUGCAGCAACGCCGUGUGCGGGAGGACGGCCUUCGGGUUGUAAACCGCUUUCGCUCAUGAUGAAGCUUUGUGUGACGGUAGUGGGUAAAGAAGCACCGGCUAACUACGUG